GUUUGAUUCUGGCUCAGAUUGAACGCUGGCGGGAUGCUUUACAUGCAAGUCAGACGGCAGCACGGACUUCGGUCUGGUGGCGAGUGGCGAACGAGGUGAGUAAUGUAUCGGAACGUGCUAGUAGCGGGGGAUAAAGCGUAGCUAAUACCGCAUACGCCCUUCGAGGAAAGCGGGGACCCUUCGGGCCUCGCACUAUUAGAGCGGCCGAUAUCGGAUUAGCUAGUUGGUGGGGUAACGGCUCACCAAGGCGACGAUCCGUAGCUGGUUUGAGAGGACGACCAGCCACACUGGGACUGAGACACAGCCCCAGACUCCUACGGGAGGCAGCAGUGGGGGAAUUUUGGACAAUGGGAAGCCCUGAUCCAGCCAUCCCGCGUGUGCGAUGAAGGCCUUCGGGUUGUAAAGCACUUUUGGCAGGAAAGAAACGGCACGGGAUAAUACCCCGUGCAACUGACGGUACCUGCAGAAUAAGCACCGGCUAACUACGUGCCAGCAGCCGCGGUAAUACGUAGGGUGCAGCGUUAAUCAGGUACUGGGCGUAAAGCGUGCGCAGGCGGUUCGGAAGAAGAUGUGAAAUCCCAGAGCUUAACUGGAACUGCAUUUUUAACUACCGGUAGAGUGUGUCAGAGGGAGGUGGAAUUCCGCGUGUAGCAGUGAAAUGCGUAGAUAUGCGGAGGAACACCGAUGGCGAAGGCAGCCUCCCUGGGAUAGCAACACUGACGCUCAUGCACGAAAGCGUGGGGCAAAGCAGUUGAUACCCUGGUAGUCCACGCCUAAACGAUGUCAACUAGCUGUUGGGGCCUUCGGGCCUGGUAGCGCAACUAACGCGUGAAGUUGACCGCCUGGGGGAGUACGGUCGCAAGAUUAAAACUCAAAGGAAUUGACGGGACCCCCGCGGCGGUGGAUGAUGUGGAUUAAUUCGAUGCAACGCGAAAAACCUUACCUACCCUUGACAUGUCUGGAAUCCCGAAGAGAUUUGGGAGUGCUCGCAAGAGAACCGGAACACAGGUGCUGCAUGGCUGUCGUCAGCUCGUGUCAGGCGAGAUGUUGGGUUAAGUCCCGCAACGCGAGCGCAGCCUUGUCUGGAUUCACGAAGGGCGCUCUCGUGAGGCUUGCCGGUGACAAGCCGGAGGAGAGGUGAGAUGACGUCGAGUCCUCAUGUGCUUAUGGUGGGGCUACCACGAUCAUACAAUGGUCGGGACAGAGGGUCGCCAACCCGCGAGGGGGAGCCAAUCCCAGAAACCCGAUCGUGAAUCCGGAUCGCAGUCUGCAACUCGACUGCGUGAAGUCAGAAUCGCCCAGUAAUCGCCGGAUCAGCAUGUCGCGGUGAAUACGUUCGGGUCUUAUACCACACCCCGUCACACCAUGGGAGUGGGUUUUGCAGAAGUAGUUAGCCUAACCGUAAGGCGAUUACCACAUUGGAUUCAUGACUGGGGUGAAGUCGUAACAAAGGUAACUCUGUUACUACCUGAUGCA
RNAcentral lists this ribosomal RNA (1476 nucleotides) under uncultured Bordetella sp. RNAcentral's name for it is "partial 16S-23S ribosomal RNA intergenic spacer". It matches the Rfam family "Bacterial small subunit ribosomal RNA". Lineage: Bacteria; Pseudomonadati; Pseudomonadota; Betaproteobacteria; Burkholderiales; Alcaligenaceae. The record is from RNAcentral.